Molecule: ribosomal RNA, 115 nt
Filed under: Klebsiella pneumoniae
Lineage: Bacteria; Pseudomonadati; Pseudomonadota; Gammaproteobacteria; Enterobacterales; Enterobacteriaceae
Source: RNAcentral
UGGCGGCACUAGCGCGGUGGUCCCACCUGACCCCAUGCCGAACUCAGAAGUGAAACGCCGUAGUGCCGAUGGUAGUGUGGGGUCUCCCCAUGUGAGAGUAGGGAACUGCCAGGCA